RNA transcript from Triticum dicoccoides, 3475 nucleotides. It is a transcript of the gene named disease resistance protein RGA2-like, with no coding region annotated. The transcript is spliced from 4 exons. The record is from RefSeq and is a predicted model, not a curated record. Lineage: Eukaryota; Viridiplantae; Streptophyta; Magnoliopsida; Poales; Poaceae.
UUGACUGAGGCCAGACGAGAGGACGUGACUCGCUCUUCUGUCGCCGCCGCCGCCCCCGCCCCCAUCCUGCUGCCGUCCUCUCCGCGCCAAUCGCCGCCGUCUCCGCACCAGUCGCCGCUUUCUCCCAUACCGUAGUCGGCCCUCUCAUCGUGUCCCUCCUGCCUCCUUGCCACGCCCAGAAACCCCCGAAGCGAGCAGGACGCGUCGGGCUCGGCUCCGACGGGCCUCGCCGCCGGUCGUGGCUCUCCUCGUUCCUCGUCGAGCGCACCGAGGACGAGCAGGCAAGGCUCCCAUCUCCCGUCUCCCUCCCUUCCCCUCUUCCCAUCCGAGGCUCACCUCCAGGCCCUCCACCGACCACCAGUGCGGCACUCACCGGCACGGGCAUGGCGGCACCUACGCGGUCAAUCACACGCACUCACGCAAAGCCGUUCGACGACGUUCCAAUCGACGGCGGCGAGCAAGGUGAGCGCACCAUCGACCAUCCCCCAUCUUUUCCCUUUUCCUCUCUGUUGAUAUAUGAUCCUGAUGUAUAUAGAGUGGUCCAAAAUGCGGUUGCUGUAAAAAAUCCAGUUGCUCUGAUGUAUUGAUCUAUUGAUGAUAUCCAAAAUUCAGUUGCUCUCAUGUAUUGAACGAUUGAUGCUGUCCAAAAUUCAGUUGAUCUGAUGUAUCGACUGAUUGAUGCACCCUGCUGUUUCCAAAAAUUCAGUGGCAUUGUAGUAUUUCCCUCUCCGAUGCGUUGACAUGUUAGUACUGUUGAAUUGACUGAACGCAUCAUUAGGGGGUGUCUGAUGUAUUGAUCUAAUCACAUCUAAGUUACCGGCUGACAAUUUUGAUGAAGAAAUUAGUACAAACUUUGCAGGAAAGAAUCAUUUUGCAAACACGGAAUAGGACCUAUUGCACGCAGAUUUAUUUUUCUUUCUUAUUUUUAAGAAAGUUAAAAAAGACUUGACACAUAGGAGCGCCUCCCAUUAUUUACUUUUGCGUCCACAUUUAGCAGGCAUCUUCCUGGUAGCCGCAGCAGUCAAGUCAAUUCUAAUUUACCAGCCAUGUGCAUCUUCCUGUUUGAAGGACAAGCACAGUAUGUAAAAUGCAUGACUUAAUGCAUGAUUUUUCCAGAGAUGUUAGCAAUGAAUGUGCCACCAUAGAAGAAUUGAUUGAACAUAAAGCAUUGGUAAAAAAUGUCCACCACCUGCAAAUAUCAACGGAUAAUUUGAAAAGGAUCUAUGGUUUGUUCGAUGGCAACACAUCUCCCCGCACUUUGUUUGCUCCUUCAUUGAUGUACCAAGACUUUAAACGGCUGUCACAUGCAUCAUUACGAGCAUUGCAUUGGCACGGUUUGUUUCACACCAGUUUCAGUUUCGCAAAUGCAAAACAUUUGCGGUAUCUUGACCUCUCCAAUUGUGACAUCAAUGCUAGAUUGCUAGAUUCAGUAUGCCUAUUGUAUAACCUGCAAACGUUGAGCCUGAAUUAUUGCACUAAGCUACAGCAGUUACCAGAAGACAUGAUGAUAAGCCUGAGAAAGCUCAUACAUCUUUAUCUUUAUGAAUGUGACAAGUUGGAGCGGAUGCCUCGAAACAUUGGCCAGCUGAACCACCUUCGCACACUAACAAGAUUUGUUGUGGAUAGUAGAGAGGGUUGUGGUAUUGAGGAACUCAAAGAUUUGAGACACCUUUGCAAUAGGAUGGAAUUGUACAACUUGAGGAAAAUAAAGAGUGUAAAGCACGCAAAAGAAGCCAAUCUCCAGCAGAAGCAAAAUCUGAGUGAGUUGUUGUUCUGUUGGGGCCUUGAAAGAUUUGACAGGACUGAAAAUGAGGCAUGUAAUGAGGAAGAAGUGUUCCAGCAUCUAGAACCUCAUAGCAAGAUCCAAUCUUUUGAGUUGUAUGGAUAUGGUGGCCCAGAAGUACCACGAUGGAUGAGAGACCAUCAGAUGUUUCAGUACUUAAGAAAACUCGCCAUUUCCAACUGGACAAGGUGUAAGAAUAUACCUGUAGUAUGGCUCUCACCCUCAGAGUACUUACACUUGCACAAUAUGGGUAAACUGAAGACAUUGUGUGAUAACCUUUGCAUAGAAGGUGGAGGAUGCAGUACCCCUCUACAAAUUUUCCCAAAGUUGAAGGCGAUGGCCUUGCGAAAGCUAUCUAGUCUAGAGGGAUGGGCAGAAAAUAGUGCGGGUGUGGCUAUUGAUAGCUCAGUAAUAUUCCCGGUGCUUGAGAAGCUAGAAAUCAGCAGCUGCCCUAAGGUUGCAAGUUUUCCACUGAGCCCCGUUCUCAAAGACCUGAGGGUUGCUCACAUUCCUGCAAUCAGCUCAAUCCUGGAGGGGAAGGCUUCAUUAUCCAACGAGACCCUUCCGCUGUCGCAGAUGGAGUGUUUUCCGAGGUUGCCCGCAAUCCUUGAAGUUUUGUGGAUUCAAGGUUUCCAAUGUUUGGUGGCGCUGCCUUCGAACCUUGGAGAUCUGGCAAAGCUGAGGGAGCUACGGCUGCAUAGCUGCAGCAGCCUGAAAAGGUUGCCUGAUGGGAUGGAUGGCCUCACUUCUCUCCGGGAAUCGGCGAUCAAAGCUUGUCCAGCGGUAGAGGAAUUCCCAAAUGAUCUCCUUGAGCGGUUACCAGCCCUUGACAACCUACGCAUAGCGGGCUGCCCCAAGUUGCAAAGACGAUGCAGAGAAGGCAUGGAGUAUUUCCACCACCUGGUCCAUAUCCCAGUUAAAUUGGGAUUCAGAACUGGAGCUCCAGAAGCAAAAGCAGAAUCCACAAUUAUAGUACCAGAAGCAGAAACCAGCGGAAAGAAGUUUUUAAGAAGGCUCCUCCCCUCCUGUGCUCACUCCAAGUCUGACUCUGGGUCUGAGGAUAACGGAGGAUUUGCUGAUUCCAAAAUCUUUUGAUCUUCGAUCCAUUGCCACAUUAUUUACACAUUAUUUGGACAAGUAUCUCCCAUUUUUGGACAAGUAUAUCUCAAGAAUCACCAAAAUUAGCAUAAAGAGAUGUUCCAGCUGGAGACGUUAAUUUUGUGCAAUUGUGGCUUACCGCAGGUUGCCAAUGAUAAUUUAUGAACCAUUUCAAGUUUUUCUUUUGCGGGGUAUAUCAACCAUUUCAAGUUGGAAUAGUUGAAAUACGUCGAAGCUCUGUAUGUUAGUGUUGUGAUGUAGUAAAAUCCAAGCUGUGAAGCAAAUCCUAUGAAUGUGUGCCCUGGUUGGCAUCUCUGAAAGCAUCCACAAAAUGAAGGAACCAAUGCCAUGAACGUCAAGCAAAGUCAGAACUCAUCACCACGGCAUGUGAUGACUGUAGUGUGGAAGUAGACUUAGUAGACUUAGUAGACUUAGUAGACCUUCGGGUCUUGUUAUGACAAAAUGCUUCCAUCAUCUUUGUCUGUAAUCGUCAGCAAAAUUGGUAUUCAGACUCGAUAAUUGUACCUGCAGGUUGGUAUUACUGAAAGCUUCCACAACAUGGAAGCAAAGUCAGAAGUCCGUCAUCAGGGCAUA